Bactrocera neohumeralis is the source of this 2843-nucleotide RNA transcript. It is a transcript of the gene named putative nuclease HARBI1, with no coding region annotated. Lineage: Eukaryota; Metazoa; Arthropoda; Insecta; Diptera; Tephritidae. The transcript has 4 exons. The record is from RefSeq and is a predicted model, not a curated record.
GCAGUGAAAUAUAGCACGCCUAAUAUGACUAUUUGACAAUCGAUGCCCAGGCAGUAGUAGUACAAGGAGAUAUUCAGGCAGGUUCUGGAAUCCGAGUGAAAGUGAAUUUGAAAAUAAACCUCAAUCCGAGUGAAUUUGGAUUUGGUGUUCUGAAAUCCGAACUUUUUGUUCAUUUUAGAACUCGUUUUUGAUUCACCGCAAAAAUGAACUUAACAGCUGAUAGCUGUCAAUUUACCCAAAAUAAAUAACAAUAUUUUAAGAAAAAUGAGUGCAUUAGCAAUAUUGUCGGUUAUUUUACGUGAAAAUGAAAGGAAUACAGAAGAAGUUUACAGUAGGAGGAUACUACGUGACCAUUGCAACCCAUUGGAUGUGCCUGAACAAGUUUUCGUGUCGAACUAUUGCGUCAACAAGGAUGCGUUUCUUGAAUUGUUGAACGUUGUUGCUCCACAUAUGUAUAAAGGGCUCAUCAAUUCCUGCGCAACUGCAACUGGCAGCCACACUGAGGUUUUUGGCGGAAGGUGGCUUCCAAAAGGCAGUGGGAAAGGAUGUUUGCAUAGCAAUGGGUCGGAGCACAGUUGCAAAAGUCAUAAAACGUGUGUUGAACAUUUUGGAAAAAUAUAUUUGCCCAAGGUGGAUCAACUUAAUUAUGACAACAGAAGAGCAGAAUCAAUCAAAAAUACAUUUCCAUCAAAAAUUUGGUAUUCCCGGUGUUAUUGGUUGCAUCGACGGUACCCACAUACGAAUUACAAAGCCGCAUAAGGACCCCAACCUAUUUUACAACAGAAAGGGAUUUUUUAGCAUCAAUGCCAUGAUUAUAUGUGAUUAUAAUAUGGCAAUAAAGGCAGUUGGUGCUCGCCGGCCUGGCUCGAGUCAUGAUGCCCUUAUUUGGAGUGUAAGUAGUGCUCGUUCAUAUUUUCAAUCCUACUACGAAAAUGGCAUACGUGGCUCUUGGCUUUUGGGUGAUGCUGGGUAUGCUCUUGAACCUUAUUUGUUCACUCCAGAGAACGUACAAUAUAGAGAAGGUUCAACUACGGACAAGCGUGUGAACUGUCAAGAGCCAUGAAUUUUCCAUUAGUGGAUUUCACCACUUUUGGCUCGGCAGGAGAAAUUUUAACAGAAAUGAGUGAACAGAGCUGAGCAUUGAAUGAAAAUUAUGCUCAGAAAUAUACAUUGCUUUUACAGACGCAUGUUGGUCUUUUGGCUUAUAUUUUAAUACUUUUACAUGCUAUCAUAUCAAUUGGUAUGAAUACAAUUUUGCGAAUUUUUGUGAAUUCAUGCAAAAUUGAUAACAUUAUUGUUAAAUUAUGCUAUUUUCAUGGUAAUAUUUGUAGUUAAUGUCCAAAUAAAAGCUACUUUUUAAACAUUCCUUAUCUUUGAUAAUAUUAUAUAAUUUCGUAUGCAUGUACAUAUACAUAUGUAUAUGCUAUAUAUGCCCAGCAAACACUGUCUCUAACGUUAGAGAAAAAGCUAGAUUUUACAUUAGAAUUCUAAUAUAGUUUUCUAAUGUUUCUCGAAUCGAAUUCAAGCUUAGAGAACAACAUUAGAAUUUGAUUAUAGAAUGAUUAGAGAAACACUCGAAAUGCACUAUCGAUAUAAAUGAUAGUUAUCGAAUACAAUAAGUGUCUGCUGAGUCGUUCAUUCCUAGUGUCAAAUAAAAAUAAUACGUGCGAAAAGAAAGUGCUUUAAAUUUUUUUAGACGGUUAUUAUUAUUACAAAGUUACGGAACAUGCGUAUUCACUCGGAAUUCAUUUUAGAAAAAGUGUGGAAUUGAAAUUGUGAAAGUGAAACACAGAACACCAAAUGCCGGAUUGAAAACGAAUUUUGUUUGAUAUUCACUCGGAAGUGAAUUCCAGAACCUGCCUGAUUGCUACGUUAUUUUAUGUAUAAAAAUGAUUCGUAUGAGAAUGGUGGUAUUGCAAAUACGGAAAAUCGGAGCACUGCCACGCUUACAAAUUGCCAUUAAGCGAAAACUAUAACUACGCUAGAUAUUAUAGUAAAGAACAAAAAGAAAAAACUACAGAGCCAAUUUCAACCAAAUUUAGUGCAAAUUAUUAUUCAGACAUCUUUUAUUUACGGUAGAAAAAUGGCGGAAAUUGAACUAAAACUAUAUAAAUUUUAAUCGAUUUUUUGAAAUUGCAGUAUAUAAAUCCAGCAACAAUAAAGUUUGAAGAAUAGAACUGUACAAAUAAUACCUUCAAUAAUAUACAUCAGUAUUAGCUCAAUAAAAUAUCUCAAUUAGCAUUGUGUCAUCCGGUAGUAAUUAUGGAUAUUGUAUGUACCUUCCCACAGGACUAACAUGAUGAAUACAGUAAGUUAGGAUAGUGAGCUUCAUACAAGGUGCUUUCCAAAGUAAACAAGACUUUUUGAAUCUAGCGCCCCCUGGUGGCGCCAUCUAAAUUUCAAUUGGUGCGUUAGAAUCUGCUAUCGUUAUCGAUUGUCCAGUGAGAUUUCAUGACAUUUCAUUGAUUGGAAGUGAAGUUAUUGCGUUUUAAGUUUCAGUAUGUUUGUGUUAUCGUUGCGAAAAUGAGCUUCGAAUAAAGAGCCAACAUUAAAUUUUGUUUUAGAAUUGGUAAAGCUUUUGCCGAAGCGUUUCAAUUGAUGAACCAAAUUUAUGGCGAUGAUUGCCUAUCCCGUAGCAGAGGGCACGAGUGGUUUCAACCUUUUCAAAGUGGUCGUAAGGAUAUAAAUGACGAUCCACAUGUGGGCCAAAAAGGCUUGCACCGGCAUACUGGCGGCCAUACCGAGCCAAAAACUGUAUUGAAGCAGAAGGAGACUAUUUUGAAUAAAAUAAUUGAUUUUGCCGAAAAACUCAUUUGUUCUGUUUUUUUUUAAGUACUGUUUAC